Molecule: ribosomal RNA, 5739 nt
Filed under: Triticum aestivum (bread wheat)
Lineage: Eukaryota; Viridiplantae; Streptophyta; Magnoliopsida; Poales; Poaceae
Description: partial small subunit ribosomal RNA
Source: RNAcentral
AGAGAGAGAGAGAGAGAGAGAGAGGGGGGUUGAUAGUCCCCCGCGCGCUCGAGCAUGGCCUCGGAGGCCGGCUCAGCGGUGCUUGGUGCUGUUGUGCGGUCUCUUGGGAAGCUGCUCAAGUACGAGUUGGGCCUGGCCAAGACCGUGAAGAAUGGGAUUACCAGCCUCCAGCGUGAGCUCCGUUGCAUGGACGCUUUUCUUGGGGAUGGCUCCGGCAUGCCGCCCCACCAGCUUGAAUCACAGUUGCAGCUCUCGGCCCGCGAGGAGGUCCGGGAGCUGUCGCAUACCAUUGAGACACGCCUCCACUCCUUCCGGGUGCGCAUCGAGUCGACCGAGGGCUCCCGUUUUGAUGUCAUGAGAAAGGUGAGGAAGCUGAAAAUUAAGCAUGACAUAGCCAGUUACAUCAAAGAUACACAAAUCAUGGUUAAGGAGAUGCGUGAUCGGCAUGCUCAGUACCGCUCCAUGAGUUCCCGGGAAAGUACUUCCAGACGGAAAGGGGACACUCGGAGAUUUGCCACGUACACCAGGGAAUCUAACCCUGUUGGCAUAGACGGGCCAAUUGCCGAUCUGACCGAAAAGCUGUCCAAGAUCGAUCAUGUCUCCAUUGUUGGGAUGGGGGGGCUGGGCAAGACCACCCUUGCUCGAGCUCUCUAUGACAAGUUGAAAGGGCGGUUCCAUUGCGGGGCUUUUGUUCACUUCGGUCAGAGCGCUGACGUUGAGAAUGUUCUGAAGGACAUCUUGUAUGAACUUCACAUGGACAAAUAUGGCAAGGAACCAAACAUACACCAGCCAAUCAACCGGCUGCAAGAUUUCAUGCUGGAUAAGAGGUGCUUAAUUGUCAUUGAUGAUAUGUGGGAUGAGGGAAACUGGAACUUCGUCAAAGGUGUUAUUAAGGAUAGUGCUGGAACUAAAAUCAUCACCACGACUCGUAACCUUAAGAUUGCCGAAGAAGUUGGUGGCGUUUACUUGAUAAAACCACUUUCUCCUGACAACUCCAAAAAAUUACUCCGUACCAAAGCUGAAGCUGAAAGCCAUAAUACUGAAUUUGAUGAAGUGUCGGAUAAAAUUUUGCGUAAAUGCGGUGGUGUGCCAAUAGCUAUCACUAUGAUAGGUAGCUUUCUUGCUAAUAAUAAAAGCAAGGGGUGGCAUGGGGCGUAUGACUCUAUUGGUUUUGAUGAGCACAAGAAGGACGGGGCAUUCGAGCACAUAAGAAAGGUACUGUCCUGUAGCUAUUAUAAUCUACCCUACGAUAUCAAGAAAUGCUUGUUGUACCUAAGCCUUUUCCCAGAAGAUCACUGGAUCGAAAAGAAUAUGCUGAUAUGGAGGUGGGUAGCAGAAGGCCUCAUUUCUGAUGGGUUAUUUGAGACUGGAGAGGCCCAUUUCAGCGAACUAGUAGACAGGAGCAUCAUCCAGUCGGCAGUGAGCCCUCGUGAUGUGGGCCAAGGUGGUUGUCGCGUCCACAGUUUGAUGCUUGACCUCAUCCGUGACCUGUCAAGUAGCAAGAAGGAGAACUUCGCCACUGUGCUGGGCAUGAAGCAGGAGAGCACAUCUGAAACCGUACACAUUCAUAGAUUAGCCAUCCACAAAACAAGCGUAGCUCAAAAUCAAAAUACUAGCCUGGAAGUGGGGGAGGUGCUGUCAUUUUAUGCCAGCACGUGUCCCGGUAGUAGCUUUCCCCCACUCUCGAGGUUUAAACGGCUCCGUGUAAUAGAUCUGGAAGAUUGUGAUUUAUCCGUCGAGGAUUGCAAACUGAGGCACCUCGAGAAGUUGGCUGGGCUGGGGUACAUUGGGCUUGUCGGCACCCAUGUGACCGAGCUCCCGAAGAAGAUGGGACGCCUCAAGUUCCUACAAACACUCGACGUGACGGCAACUGGCCUCAGUGAGCUGCCAUCAUUCAUCGAGGAUCUGAAGAAACUGAGGUGCCUGCGAGUUGGCAAGGGCACGAGGAUCAUGGGCCGGAUAGGGGAGCUGACGUCCCUGGAAGAGCUGUGGCUGCACUCGGCUGACAAGUCCCCGGGCUUCGUUAUUGAGCUCCGAAAGCUGACCGAGCUGCGGGUGCUGGUGAUCCACUUCGACGAGAUUGAUGAUGGUAUGAAAGAGGCGCUGGUGGAGUCCCUGCAUCAACUGGAGAAGCUCCAGGUCCUACAAGUCUGGUCAGACACAGAGGAGAAGGUCCCCCUUGGCAGCUGGGAAGCUAGCAUGCCCUUCCCGCAGCUCCGCCAGCUGUUGUUGUUCGGAGUCAUCCUACCCAGGCCGAUGUCGUGGAUCCACCGCUUGUUUGUGCCGAAACUCUCCAAGCUACUGCUGCAGGUGGUGGUCUUGGAGAAGCAGCACCUGGAGAUCCUCGGGCAGAUGCCGUCGCUCCACUCGCUCUACCUCCACAGUGAGGAUGACAAGUACCGGCUGUCAUAUACCGCCAACAAGAAUGAGUUCAAGGUGUUGGAAUACAUCAACACGAACAUAGAGUUGAUAUGCGGUGACGGGGGGCUACCAAUGAUCCAGGAGCUGGAGGUCGGCGGCAUCAGGGCAGGAAGGGACGUUGGCCUGCGGGGGAACAUGCCUCUACUCCAGAGGGCCACCUACCACCUCGACUGUGUGGCCCGCCUCCCUCUCCGGGUGCGGAAGGCAGAGGAAGAGCUACGGCAGGCGGGGAAAGCACACCCCAACCGUCCCGAAAUCACCAUAAGGAGAUGGAACAACGUCGUGACGGAGAUAUGGCCCAAGAUGGAACAAAUCCAAGGGACCUCCCUGAGGCUUGUGAGGCCCUCAUCCUCGGAAGAAAAUAUAUUUCUAGAUAAUAACCCUGAAAGUUUAAAGCAAAUGUCGGAAGAUUUUGCCCGGCUUGAGCUAGACAACCCUAUCGGAGCACCACCGGCCCUCAGAGUGGAUGACGCUACAGAUGCCACAGGCUCUCCAUCUCAGGGAGCAGCUCUUAUCGAGUUCUAUUUUAAGUCCAUGCUCAAGGUCCAUGAGGAUAUUACUGACAUCACGCGAAAUGAGGACGCAGACGCAAACGCAAGUUCAGAAGGAAACGAUGGUGCAGGUCCCAUUGGUGAGCUGCUGCCUGAGCCCGACGCCACCGGCACUUUGCUCUCCGCUGUGCUCUCCUGGUUCAACAGCCAGGAUGGAGCCGCUAAAAUGUCGAAGAAAGCUGAUAUGCAUGGAAUGGAUCUCGUCGCUUAUAAGAGAAUAUGGAAGAAGUGCGUGCUGAACCCCGAGUUGAUUGCAAUCAUGGACAGCGUGGUGCACGAGAAUGAAGCUUCUGAAUACGUGCGGCUCCACGAGCAGCUGAUGGGCCAAGAAAUCCUGGAUUAUAUGGCCGGACACGACAUCGACGAGCCAUCCUCCCCGCCUGGAUAUGUUGGUAGUAGCCCUGAGCCACUGCCACCUAAGGUCGACGCUGACAACAUGCACUCCUGGCUCGUCGGCAUGUAUGGAGCCGCUCAUGUGUCGGCUCUUAUGUCGAAGGGAGCUGCUAAGUUUGGAAUUGAUCCCACUGCUUUCGAGACAAUGUGGAUGAAGUACGUGCUGAACCCCGAGCAGGUUGCAGACAUGGACAGCGCGGUGCAGAACCAUGACGGUUCUGAAUUCAAGCGGCUCAUAGCGCAGGUGAUGGAGGCAGAAAACUCCAGGCCACCACCUAAGCUCGACAUCUACGACACUUUUAUCCUCUGGCGUAACACCACGGAUGGAGCCGCUGCUAUGUCGGAGGGAGCUGCUGAGUUUGGAAUGGAUCCCGCUGCUUUUGAGAGAAUAUUGAAGAAGUGCAUGCUGAACCCCGAGUUGAUUCCAGCCAUGGACAGCGCGUUGCAGGACGAUGACGGCUCUUGGAUGGAGCUGAUGAAGCAGCUGGUGGAGCCAGAAACCAUGCAUUAUUUCACCGAGCAAUACAUGGACGGGCCAUCCUCCACGCCUGGAUAUGCUGAUGAUGGACAGGCCGAUGGUAGCAGUAGUGGCCAAGAUGGUGAGAAGGUCUCCAGGAUGCUGAGGCAAGUGUUGCCGACCGUGGAACAGGUCCUUAAAGCUGGUGCGAGCAGUAGACAGCCUAGCGCAGCUCAGGUCAUUGCCGACAACGAGCUCAACUAUGGAGGACCGGCUGAUGCCAGCGGCAUGCUCUCCGGUUUAUCCAGUAGCCCGGCCCACGCAGCUCAAUCUGAUAUGAUAGACGUCGUAGCAAGAAGCACUGCUACUGUGGCGCAGAUUAUACAAAAUGGUGAGAACUCCUUGACGAUGUUCAACUGGAAUGAACGACUCGCGGCCUUGGAGAAGGCAUCUGCUGCUGGUGAGAACUCCUCGACGGUAUUCAACUUGAAUGAACUAAAGGAACUGAACGAACUGAUCGCAGCCUUGGAGAAUGGCCCAUCUCAGCGGAAACAAUGUCAGCGACGAAGAAGGCGGAGGCGUGCAAGCAGCCUUAAAAAUCAUCCCCGUGCGUCCUGAAGGUUGAUGAUGCUUGGUCGGCCUCCGGACUUAUGAGCGAAAAAAAAAAGCAAAAAAGAAAAAUAUAAAAGCAAAAAAAAUCUAAACCCCAAAAAAGCAAAAAAAUGUUUUAUUUAAAAAAAUGAAAAACGCAAAAAGGACAUAUUUUGGGAGGGUGGGUGGGGAACUCCGCCUAUGCCAUUUGCAUAGCCGGUCCCAAGCCCGGAUAAAAGGAGGAGGGGCCAACCGUAUGUUAAUUUAGAGCGUAAUAAUGUGUUGUAUUGGCUAAACCAUUUUAUAGCACAACUCCAACUUCCUGUAGAAAGAGUAACUAUAACAAACACCGAAUAUGAUUUCUCCCAGUAAUUCCCAAAUAAAAAAUUACUCUAUUUUAAAAAAACUGUGUGGGUGUUUUUAGAGGGUAACUGACUCCACUUUAUUUAAUAAAAAACGUCUGCAAUCUCCGCCGCUACUACAUGCAAAAUGCAAUCCGGCGGUGAUUAAUCUGCAUGUGUGUUGGGAAGAGGGUCUCAGCUUGAGGUCAAAUCCACAGUUCAACACGACAACACGGACAAGUGGAGGAAAUACACCCAGACCACGCCGGGAUAAGCCGAGUGUGUUGGGCAAGUGCCACGCAUGAUGAGGACAACAUUGCGCGCAACCGCAGUGCGUUGCAUUGCAGACAAGUCGGCGACCAUGCGCCCACAAGCACCCCUGGGCAUGCAUGCUGGACAAGAUAGCGAGCAGGCAUCGGUGCACGAUCUUGAGCAUGAAACCUACUCCUCCGUUCCUAAAUAUUUGUCUUUCUAGAUAUUUUAAAUGACUACUACAUACGGAUGUAUGUAGACAUAUUUUAGAGUGUAAAUUCACUCAUUUUGCUCCGUACGUAGUCACUUGUUGAAAUGCCUAGAAAGAUAAGUAUUUAGAAACGGAGGGAGUAGGCAACAUGGCGAGCACACAUCAACUAGUGGUCCCAGGCAUGAACCCAUAUGCAAGAUGGAGAUGUUGCACCCCGGCGCGCGGCUCCCCUCGAGUAAUAUAUAUAUGGCGAGCGUACACCUACGUUCAAUCCCAAGUAAGAUGGCGAGUGCGCACCUGCAUGCGACCCCAGCAUAAAGCUCUGGCAAGAAGACAGCAUGUCAUGCGGUGUCUGUACAAACUAGAAAAAAGAUAUGUCUAAGCAUAUGCCUUAGGAUAGGGCAUCAGAUUAUAAAUUACCGCAAGUGUUACGAUGUGAUCAGGAUAAGAGUAAGAUCAUAAACUGCCUAGGGGCAGAAAUGAAAUUUCACACGUGCCUCUCAAGCGUAUAAAUAAGAGAGC